GGGCCAUAUGAUGAAAAAUCACGUGCAAUUCUCACGACGGUCGUCUGAGACACUUUGUGUGUAAUGUUGCAGUCAUAUUUCUCUGAUGCCC
Dichanthelium oligosanthes is the source of this 91-nucleotide small nucleolar RNA. It matches the Rfam family "Small nucleolar RNA Z161/Z228". From Rfam's summary of the family: Z161 and Z228 are members of the C/D class of snoRNA which contain the C (UGAUGA) and D (CUGA) box motifs. Most of the members of the box C/D family function in directing site-specific 2'-O-methylation of substrate RNAs. NCBI's taxonomy places the organism in Eukaryota, Viridiplantae, Streptophyta, Magnoliopsida, Poales, Poaceae. The record is from Rfam.